RNAcentral lists this ribosomal RNA (464 nucleotides) under uncultured bacterium. RNAcentral describes it as "bacterial SSU rRNA". It matches the Rfam family "Bacterial small subunit ribosomal RNA", at positions 338 to 795 of the family's 1533-position model. The record is from RNAcentral.
CCUACGGGGUGCAGCAGUGGGGAAUAUUGCACAAUGGGCGCAAGCCUGAUGCAGCCAUGCCGCGUGUAUGAAGAAGGCCUUCGGGUUGUAAAGUACUUUCAGCGGGGAGGAAGGCGAUAAGGUUAAUAACCUUGUCGAUUGACGUACCCGCAGAAGAAGCACCGGCUAACUCCGUGCCAGCAGCCGCGGUAAUACGGAGGGUUCAAGCGUUAAUCGGAAUUACUGGGCGUAAAGCGCACGCAGGCGGUCUGUCAAGUCGGAUGUGAAGUCCCCGGGCUCAACCUGGGAACUGCAUUCGAAACUGGCAGGCUAGAGUCUUGUAGAGGGGGGUAGAAUUCCAGGUGUAGCGGUGAAAUGCGUAGAGAUCUGGAGGAAUACCGGUGGCGAAGGCGGCCCCCUGGACAAAGACUGACGCUCAGGUGCGAAAGCGUGGGGAGCAAACAGGAUUAGAUACCCCCGUAGUC